UACGAGGGGGGCGAGCGUUGUUCGGAAUUAUUGGGCGUAAAGGGCGCGUAGGCGGUGCGGUAAGUCACCUGUGAAACCUCUAGGCUUAACCUAGAGCCUGCAGGCGAAACUGCCGUGCUGGAGUGUGGGAGAGGUGCGUGGAAUUCCCGGUGUAGCGGUGAAAUGCGUAGAUAUCUGGAGGAAUACCGGUGGCGAAGGCGGCAUCCUGGACCGACAUUGACGCUGAACGGCGAAAGCUAGGGGAGCAAACGGG
RNAcentral lists this ribosomal RNA (253 nucleotides) under uncultured bacterium. RNAcentral describes it as "partial 16S ribosomal RNA". It matches the Rfam family "Bacterial small subunit ribosomal RNA", at positions 524 to 776 of the family's 1533-position model. The record is from RNAcentral.